RNAcentral lists this ribosomal RNA (489 nucleotides) under Anopheles philippinensis. RNAcentral's name for it is "eukaryotic LSU rRNA". The stretch from base 1 to 93 matches the Rfam family "5.8S ribosomal RNA", at positions 66 to 154 of the family's 154-position model. The record is from RNAcentral. Lineage: Eukaryota; Metazoa; Arthropoda; Insecta; Diptera; Culicidae.
UGUGAACUGCAGGACACAUGAACACCGACACGUUGAACGCAUAUUGCGCAUCGGACGUUUCAACCCGACCGAUGCACACAUCCUUGAGUGCCUAUCAAGUUAUACAUACAUUUCUACCAAACUGACACCUAUCUCCCCGAUAGUUUGUCGCAUAAUGGCGUGCUCGGACCCGCACUGGACGGGGCCUUGGGCGCUGAAUGUGAGAGAGCUAAUAUAGAAGACAAUGUAUUGUAAUGAUACAUACGAGAGAGAGUGAGCGAUGAACAGACACGCGACAAGUCGCAACGGUUCGACCUCAAGUAUCAACCCGGGAUGAAACCCCCGCAGCCUAUCAUCAGGCGCUAGCAAAGGGGUCCUAGGUUGGCUCGGGUCGUGUAACACUUGCGGCCCAACGGGUCUGUCUUUAUCGUCUCUCUUAGAACGAAAAAGGGAAUUAGCUUCUCUACAUGUAGGCCUCGAGUGAUGUGUGACAACCCCCUGAAUUUAAGC